UCCCGGUUGGCCCGGGCAGUCUCGCAUGAAAAAUACAACAUACGAUAAGGGUUGCGCUCGUUGCGGGACUUAACCCAACAUUUCACAACACGAGCUGACGACGGCCAUGCAGCACCUGUCACUAGGCUCCCGAAGGCACUCCCUGAUUUCUCAAGGAUUCCUAGGAUGUCAAGCCUCGGUAAGGUUCUCCGCGUAUCGUCAAAUUAAACCACAUCAUCCACCGCUUGUGCGGGUCCCCGUCAAUUCCUUUGAGUUUUAGCCUUGCGGCCGUACUUCCCAGGCGGCAUACUUAUCGCGUUAGCUGCGUUUCGCAGGGGGUCGAUACCCCACAAAACUAGUAUGCAUCGUUUACGGCGUGGACUAC
RNAcentral lists this unclassified non-coding RNA (364 nucleotides) under uncultured bacterium. RNAcentral describes it as "contains 16S-23S intergenic spacer region". The record is from RNAcentral.